UACGAAGGGGGCUAGCGUUGUUCGGAUUUACUGGGCGUAAAGCGCACGUAGGCGGAUCUUUAAGUCAGAGGUGAAAUCCCAAGGCUCAACCUUGGAACUGCCUUUGAUACUGGGGAUCUUGAGUCCGGGAGAGGUGAGUGGAACUGCGAGUGUAGAGGUGAAAUUCGUAGAUAUUCGCAAGAACACCAGUGGCGAAGGCGGCUCACUGGCCCGAUACUGACGCUGAGGUGCGAAAGCGUGGGGAGCAAACAGG
RNAcentral lists this ribosomal RNA (253 nucleotides) under uncultured bacterium. Its description in RNAcentral is "partial 16S ribosomal RNA". It matches the Rfam family "Bacterial small subunit ribosomal RNA", at positions 524 to 776 of the family's 1533-position model. The record is from RNAcentral.